UACGUAGGGUGCAGGCGUUAAUCGGAAUUACUGGGCGUAAAGCGUGCGCAGGCGGUCUGCUAAGACAGGUGUGAAAUCCCCGGGCUUAACCUGGGAACUGCGCUUGUUACUGGCAGGCUGGAGUGUGGCAGAGGGGGGUGGAAUUCCACGUGUAGCGGUGAAAUGCGUAGAGAUGUGGAGGAACACCGAUGGCGAAGGCAGCCUUCUGGGCCAACACUGACGCUCAUGCACGAAAGCGUGGGGAGCAAACAGG
RNAcentral lists this ribosomal RNA (253 nucleotides) under uncultured bacterium. RNAcentral describes it as "partial 16S ribosomal RNA". It matches the Rfam family "Bacterial small subunit ribosomal RNA", at positions 524 to 776 of the family's 1533-position model. The record is from RNAcentral.